UAUUACUAAAUCUAUAUUUUUACUGCUUGAUUUUUUUUCAGGACUCCACUCCAUGGGCUUCAGAUCACUACCCGGGAAACUGCUGUGGUUGGAGCUGCAAUAGGCUGAUGGAUAAAUAAAUCUUCUGUCCCAUCCUCUUUGCUUAAUCUGGGAUUCUCAAAGGUAUUCACACAUCAGAGAAGCUCUGUCUGCCACUUCCAGGGAUGCAGUACUUCCCCUGAAGGAGGAGAGCAAGCUGAUGUGGCUGACUAGGAACUACAGGACUGCUCACGUUUGUUAAGUCUUGGUUUCGGCAGAGCCUCAAUCUGGCUGCUGGCUUUUUGGACCUCUGAAGAUGCUGCUGUGCUUGGACUCAGUGUGACUCUUCUCUCAGAAGAAGAGCAGCAUUGCAGCAAGAGAAGAUGCAUCCUCAGGAAAUCACAAACCUCACAGGAAGUGUUAUUUUCCAUCAACGGUAACUGCCUGUGUGCAGUUCUGGGAGGACAGAGCUGAAACAAGACAAGAACAAAAGCUGCAGAAGUAAAACUACCUCUAAAGCUCCUUUUAAACACACAGCACAGGAGGGAACAAAUGGACACUGAUUAUGAUGAAACCUUUUGCUUCCUGUAGUGUUUGGCAUUCCUUAAUAUGUCCUGAUAGCUUUGAUUUCCUCUCCUCCAUUGCAGCAUCAAAGAGUAAGUAGGCUGAAUGUUAUCCAAUUGGUCAUUUGAAUACCAUCCUUUUUAACCUUCUAUUCCCC
This 739-nucleotide long non-coding RNA is filed under the name Zonotrichia albicollis (white-throated sparrow). RNAcentral describes it as "lncRNA (ENSZALG00000012071.1)". The record is from RNAcentral. Lineage: Eukaryota; Metazoa; Chordata; Aves; Passeriformes; Passerellidae.